This is a long non-coding RNA of Rana temporaria (common frog), 403 nucleotides long. RefSeq lists it as uncharacterized. NCBI's taxonomy places the organism in Eukaryota, Metazoa, Chordata, Amphibia, Anura, Ranidae. The transcript is spliced from 3 exons. The record is from RefSeq and is a predicted model, not a curated record.
GAUUGACUGAUCCCUGCAAGGUGCACCUAAAAGGAGAUAUUCCCAAGGCUAUUUCCCAGCAUCACCUACAGUGCCAGUGGGGGUGUUACCAUCACGUUGGAGGUUCCAUGUCGGGGUCCGGUUCCCUCUGGGCUUUUCGUCCCCUCAGCUCCCGGGCGGGAUGCAGGAUUAUAUGCAUCGCUCCUGAUGAGGUGAUAUAGUCGCCGAAACGCGUCGAGCCAACGCCAUCCUAGAUGCUAUACGUUAUCAUAUAUGAUGAGAUCUAGCUAAAAUGUUUUAUAUUUGAUAUUGAUAUAUUUUGAUAUAUUUGAUAUAUUUUAUAUUAUGUCUUUAUAUGGAGCCUGCUGGCCAAGAUAUUUUGUAUAACUUGUGUUCAUUUAUUAAAAUUGUUUUUUCAAACUGA